This 315-nucleotide unclassified non-coding RNA is filed under the name plant metagenome. RNAcentral's name for it is "partial contains 5.8S ribosomal RNA, internal transcribed spacer 2, and large subunit ribosomal RNA". The stretch from base 1 to 105 matches the Rfam family "5.8S ribosomal RNA", at positions 50 to 154 of the family's 154-position model. The record is from RNAcentral.
AAAAUGCGAUAAGUAAUGUGAAUUGCAGAAUUCAGUGAAUCAUCGAAUCUUUGAACGCACAUUGCGCCCGCCAGUAUUCUAGCGGGCAUGCCUGUUCGAGCGUCAUUUCAACCCUCAAGCCCCCGGGUUUGGUGUUGGGGAUCGGGCUGCGGUUCUACCGCGUCCCGGCCCCGAAAUCUAGUGGCGGUCUCGCUGCAGCCUCCAUUGCGUAGUAGCUAACACCUCGCAACUGGAACGCGGCGCGGCCAAGCCGUUAAACCCCCAACUUCUGAAUGUUGACCUCGGAUCAGGUAGGAAUACCCGCUGAACUUAAGC